RNAcentral lists this transfer RNA (85 nucleotides) under Felis catus (domestic cat). It matches the Rfam family "tRNA". Rfam says of the family: Transfer RNA (tRNA) molecules are approximately 80 nucleotides in length. Their secondary structure includes four short double-helical elements and three loops (D, anti-codon, and T loops). Further hydrogen bonds mediate the characteristic L-shaped molecular structure. tRNAs have two regions of fundamental functional importance: the anti-codon, which is responsible for specific mRNA codon recognition, and the 3' end, to which the tRNAs corresponding amino acid is attached (by aminoacyl-tRNA synthetases). tRNAs cope with the degeneracy of the genetic code in two manners: having more than one tRNA (with a specific anti-codon) for a particular amino acid; and 'wobble' base-pairing, i.e. permitting non-standard base-pairing at the 3rd anti-codon position. Lineage: Eukaryota; Metazoa; Chordata; Mammalia; Carnivora; Felidae. RNAcentral also lists the same sequence under 1 other name. The record is from Rfam by way of RNAcentral.
GCCUGGGUGGCUCAGUCGGUUGAGCGUCCGACUUUGGCUCAGGUCAUGAUCUCGCGGUUUGUGAGUUCAAGCCCCACAUCGGGCA